This 607-nucleotide ribosomal RNA is filed under the name Alcidodes sp. CNC COL VG00010853. Its description in RNAcentral is "partial 28S ribosomal RNA". It matches the Rfam family "Eukaryotic large subunit ribosomal RNA", at positions 284 to 645 of the family's 3401-position model. Lineage: Eukaryota; Metazoa; Arthropoda; Insecta; Coleoptera; Curculionidae. The record is from RNAcentral.
AGCCCUAAGAGGGUGGUAAACUCCAUCUAAGGCUAAAUAUGACCACGAGACCGAUAGCGAACAAGUACCGUGAGGGAAAGUUGAAAAGCACUUUGAAGAGAGAGUUCAAGAGUACGUGAAACCGUUUAGGGGUAAACCUGAGAAAUCCGAAAGGUCGAAGGGAGAAAUUCAUUCGCGUUUCGACGUAGACGUCGGUCGGUCGUGUGACGGAGAGUUCGUUCGCGAGCUUUUUCGCUCCUUCCGAUCUUUGACGAUUCGACGACGAACGUGUGCACUUUUCUCCUGGUAGGACGUCGCGAUUCGUUGGGUGUCGGUCUACGGCUCGCGGUGGAGCCCGUUCUUGCGGGAGUAAUUUCUCGUAUUGACACGGACCCGCGGGAGUUAUCAUCCGGCUGACUCGCUCGACGGUAUACGAAAGGUUUAAGGCCGCUGCUACUGCUGCUAGUUUUUGCUAGUAGGAGAGAGCGUUCGACUCGCGGCAAGCGCGCCGAAUGUGUCGGCGAUCGGACCCGGUGCCGAUUCUGACCUUCGGUGACUGUUGGCUGCGAAUUGUUCUCGAACAGACCUUCAGACCGAUCUGCGACGCUAUAGCUUUGGAUACUUUCAG